RNAcentral lists this ribosomal RNA (155 nucleotides) under uncultured bacterium. Its description in RNAcentral is "partial 16S ribosomal RNA". It matches the Rfam family "Bacterial small subunit ribosomal RNA", at positions 356 to 526 of the family's 1533-position model. The record is from RNAcentral.
CAGGGAAAUUGCACAAUGGGGGAAACCCUGAUGCAGCGACGCCGCUGUGAAGGAUGAAGGUUUUCGGAUCGUAAACUUCUUUGAUCGGGGACGAAAAAUGACGGUACCCGAAGAACAAGCCACGGCUAACUACGUGCCAGCAGCCGCGGUAAUAA